Molecule: ribosomal RNA, 461 nt
Filed under: uncultured Sphingobacteriales bacterium
Lineage: Bacteria; Pseudomonadati; Bacteroidota; Sphingobacteriia; Sphingobacteriales
Description: bacterial SSU rRNA
Rfam family: Bacterial small subunit ribosomal RNA
Source: RNAcentral
CACAAGCGAGGAGCAUGUGGUUUAAUUCGAUGAUACGCGAGGAACCUUACCUGGGCUCGAACGUAAGAUGACUGUAGGUGAAAGCUUACAUCUCUUCGGAGCAUUUUACGAGGUGCUGCAUGGUUGUCGUCAGCUCGUGCCGUGAGGUGUCGGGUUAAGUCCCAUAACGAGCGCAACCCCUACCUUUAGUUGCCAUCAGGUAAUGGCUGGGGACUCGUAAAGGAACUGCCUACGCAAGUAGUGAGGAAGGUGGGGAUGACGUCAAAUCAGCACGGCCCUUACGUCCAGGGCUACACACGUGCUACAAUGGCCGGUACAAAGGGCAGCUACCUGGUGACAGGACUGCGUAAUCUCAAAAGACCGGUCUCAGUACGGAUUGGAGUCUGAAACUCGACUCCAUGAAGUUGGAAUCGCUAGUAAUCGCGCAUCAGCAUGGCGCGGUGAAUACGUUCCCGGGCCUU